RNAcentral lists this ribosomal RNA (777 nucleotides) under uncultured Neocallimastigales. RNAcentral's name for it is "partial large subunit ribosomal RNA". It matches the Rfam family "Eukaryotic large subunit ribosomal RNA", at positions 23 to 634 of the family's 3401-position model. The record is from RNAcentral. Lineage: Eukaryota; Fungi; Neocallimastigomycota; Neocallimastigomycetes; Neocallimastigales.
AGAGAGAGACAUGCGCGCAUAUUAAUAAGCGGAGGAAAAGAAACUAACAAGGAUUCCCUCAGUAACGGCGAGUGAAGCGGGAAGAGCUCAAAUUUGAAAUCUUCAAGGUUUUACCUUGACGAAUUGUAGUUUAAAGAAGUGUUUUCUGCUGAAGUUUUGGUAAAAGUUCUUUGGAAUAGGACAUCAUAGAGGGUGAGAAUCCCGUAUUUGACCAUUAUUUUCAGCUUUGUGAUACACUUUCAAAGAGUCCGGAUUGUUUGGGAAUGCAGUCCAAAAUGGGUGGUAAAUUUCAUCUAAAGCUAAAUAUUGGCGAGAGACCGAUAGCGAACAAGUACCGUGAGGGAAAGAUGAAAAGAACUUUGAAAAGAGAGUUAAACAGUACGUGAAAUUGUCAAAAGGGAAGCGUUUGACACCAGUGUUGUUUUCUCGAAAAUCAAUUAAGAAUGGCUCGAUUUUGUAUUGUUGAGACCUUAAAAGCUCACUGUACAUUUUUCGUGUCUUUUUUAAUGCACUUUUCGUUUAACAAGUCCAACAUCAGUUUCUUUUGUUGUAAAAGGGUCAUUGGAUAGGUGGCUUUCUUUUCGGAGAAAGUGUUUAUAGCCUUUGGCCUCUGCAAUCGAAGAGACUGAGGUCUGCAGCGUAGACUCUUCGGGGUUAGAUACAUUUGUGCUAAGUUAUAGCUUUUUAUAGACAACUUGUUGACUAUAAUUAGUCUUGUAGCUUACUCGCUUAUGCUAUUUUACCUACGCUUAGGAUGUUGAAGAUGUAGCACAUCAU